CUUGCGUGGCCUGGUCAGUAAUGUGUCUGGCUUGCAACCAAAGGGUCGUAGGUUUGAAUCCUACCUAAAA
RNAcentral lists this transfer RNA (70 nucleotides) under Ixodes scapularis (black-legged tick). Its description in RNAcentral is "tRNA-Ala". Lineage: Eukaryota; Metazoa; Arthropoda; Arachnida; Ixodida; Ixodidae. The record is from RNAcentral.